This 253-nucleotide ribosomal RNA is filed under the name uncultured bacterium. Its description in RNAcentral is "partial 16S ribosomal RNA". It matches the Rfam family "Bacterial small subunit ribosomal RNA", at positions 524 to 776 of the family's 1533-position model. The record is from RNAcentral.
UACAGAGACUGCAAGCGUUAUUCGGAUUCACUGGGCGUAAAGGGUGCGCAGGCCGCCAUGUGUGUGAGGUGUGAAAUCCCGGAGCUUAACUCCGGAACUGCGCCUCAAACUACAUGGCUAGAGCAUUGGAGAGGGAAGUGGAAUUCACGGUGUAGCGGUGAAAUGCGUAGAUAUCAGGAGGAACACCGGUGGCGAAGGCGGCUAUCUGGACAGAGUCUGACGCUGAGGCGCGAAAGCUAGGGGAGCAAACAGG